UGAUAAUGGUGAGGACAACUAAUGAGUAAAUAUUUAAAACUAUCCCAGACUUAGUAUAAGUUCUCUCCUGAUUUUUAUUUAAAACUUAAGAUUUCACUUCUCAGCUU
Molecule: small nucleolar RNA, 107 nt
Organism: Solanum dulcamara
Lineage: Eukaryota; Viridiplantae; Streptophyta; Magnoliopsida; Solanales; Solanaceae
Source: RefSeq, a predicted model, not a curated record